GAUGAACGCUGGCGGCGUGCUUAACACAUGCAAGUCGAACGGAAAGGCCCUGCUUGCAGGGUACUCGAGUGGCGAACGGGUGAGUAACACGUGGGUGAUCUGCCCUGCACUUCGGGAUAAGCUUGGGAAACUGGGUCUAAUACCGGAUAGGAACUAUCUUUAGCGUCGUGGUUGAAAAGUUUUUUGGUUGAUGGAUGAGCCUGAGGCCUAUCGGCUUGUUGCGGGGAUAAUGGCCUACCAAGGCGGCGAAGGGUAGCCGGCCUGAGAGGGUGUACGGCCACAUUGGCACUGAGAUACGGCCCAGACUCCUACGGGAGGCAGCAGUGGGGAAUAUUGCACAAUGGGCGCAAGCCUGAUGCAGCGACGCCGCGUGGGGGAUGAAGGCCUUCGGGUUGUAAACUCCUUUCGCUAGGGACGAAGCUUUUUGUGACGGUACCUAGAUAAGAAGCACCGGCUAACUACGUG
RNAcentral lists this ribosomal RNA (465 nucleotides) under uncultured bacterium. RNAcentral's name for it is "partial 16S ribosomal RNA". It matches the Rfam family "Bacterial small subunit ribosomal RNA", at positions 28 to 507 of the family's 1533-position model. The record is from RNAcentral.